UAUUAUGUUAUUGAAAACUUUAGCUAUCAGAAUCAGAUAGAGACAGGGUUAAAACAGAGCUAAUUACUUGCACCAGAAUCAAAGUUUUUAUAGUAAGAA
Molecule: long non-coding RNA, 99 nt
Organism: Brassica rapa (field mustard)
Lineage: Eukaryota; Viridiplantae; Streptophyta; Magnoliopsida; Brassicales; Brassicaceae
Source: RefSeq, a predicted model, not a curated record